AACGAACGCUGGCGGCAGGCUUAACACAUGCAAGUCGAACGCGUGUAGCAAUACACGAGUGGCGCACGGGUGAGUAACACGUGGAUAUCUGCCUUUUGGUUCGGAAUAACUCCGGGAAACUGGAGCUAAUACCGGAUGGUUCCUACGGGAUAAAGAUUUAUCGCCAAAAGAUGAGUCCGCGCACGAUUAGCUAGUUGGUGAGGUAACGGCUCACCAAGGCGACGAUCGUUAGCUGGUCUGAGAGGACGAUCAGCCACACUGGGACUGAGACACGGCCCAGACUCCUACGGGAGGCAGCAGUGGGGAAUAUUGGACAAUGGGGGCAACCCUGAUCCAGCCAUGCCGCGUGAGUGAUGAAGGCCUUCGGGUUGUAAAGCUCUUUUGGCGGGGACGAUGAUGACGGUACCCGCAGAAUAAGCCCCGGCUAACUUCGUGCCAGCCGCCGCGGUAA
Molecule: ribosomal RNA, 451 nt
Filed under: uncultured bacterium
Lineage: Bacteria
Description: partial 16S ribosomal RNA
Rfam family: Bacterial small subunit ribosomal RNA
Source: RNAcentral